RNAcentral lists this ribosomal RNA (251 nucleotides) under uncultured prokaryote. RNAcentral's name for it is "partial 16S rRNA". It matches the Rfam family "Bacterial small subunit ribosomal RNA", at positions 525 to 775 of the family's 1533-position model. The record is from RNAcentral.
ACGGAGGGUGCAAGCGUUGUUCGGAAUUAUUGGGCGUAAAGAACGUGUAGGCGGGUCUGUGUGUCAGAUGUGAAAGCCCUCGGCUCAACUGAGGAAGUGCAUCUGAAACUGCAGAUCUUGAGUACGAGAGAGGAGAGUGGAAUUCCCAGUGUAGAGGUGAAAUUCAUAGAUAUUGGGAAGAACACCGACGGCGAAAGCGGCUCUCUGGCUCGAUACUGACGCUGAGACGUGAAAGCGUGGGGAGCAAACAG